Molecule: ribosomal RNA, 492 nt
Filed under: uncultured bacterium
Lineage: Bacteria
Description: partial 16S ribosomal RNA
Rfam family: Bacterial small subunit ribosomal RNA
Source: RNAcentral
AGUGAACGCUGGCGGUACGCCUAACACAUGCAAGUCGAACGGCAGCACAUUAAUAGCUUGCUCGUACGGGUGUCGAGUGGCGGCCAGGUGGGGAAUACAUCGGAAUCUACUUUUUCGUGGGUUGUAACUUAGGGAAACUUACGCUAAUACCUCAUACGACCUACGGCUGAAAGCAGGGGAUCUUCGAAACUUGCGCGAUUGAGUGAGCCGAUGUCGGAGUAGCUAGUUGGCGGGGUAAAGGCCCACUAACGCGACGAUCCGUAGCCGGUCUGAGAGGAUGAUCAGCCACACUGGAACUGAGACACGGUCCAGACUCAGACGGGAGGCAGAAGUGGGGAAUAUUGGACAAUGGGCGCAAGCCUGAUCCAGCCAUACCGCGUGGGUGAAGAAGGCCUUCGGGUUGUAAAGCCCUUUUGUUGGGAAAGAAAAGCAGCAGGUUAAGUCCCCGCUGUUCUGACGGUACCCAAAGAAUAAGCACCGGCUAACUUCGUG